Passer domesticus (house sparrow) is the source of this 1997-nucleotide long non-coding RNA. RefSeq lists it as uncharacterized. The record is from RefSeq and is a predicted model, not a curated record. Lineage: Eukaryota; Metazoa; Chordata; Aves; Passeriformes; Passeridae. The transcript is spliced from 2 exons.
GUUGAUCCAAAGAAAAGGGAAGAACUGCAUUAAAUAUAAGUUGAAACUACACAUUUGGGCAGCACCAUCUUCCAUAAAUUGAGGAGCCCCGGUGAACUGCUAGAGCCAAGCCAAGGGCUGACCUCUGUGGUAGAGGGCCACUAGCCAUCAAGUCUGCUCAGAGGAGCAAGUCUUAACCUGCUGCCCAAGUCUCUGGCUUCAGACCAAGGCUAUGAAGAGCAGAGAAGAUGAACCAGUUGAAGUUCAUUACAUAGCCUGCUUCAGAAGCUGUGUGUCCCCUCCAAGGCCUUGUUUUGUUUCCUCAUUUGUCUUCUCAGCAGCAGCACCAAGAACACGAAGCUGUCCUGGCUGUCACUGCUAUCACCUGUCACCACCUGAGCUGCCAGACUUUAAAACUGCACACUUUGUUAUAAGUUCCAUUUUCAAAGGAGAAUGCAGUUGGGUACUGAGCUACCCUGGCCUUCCUUCCCCCUGCAGUCACAGGCAGCCUCUCUUCCCAGCGGUGCGGUUCAGUGGCAAAGCCUCCCCGUGGUCAGAGCAGACACUUUUCACCAGCAGAUGUGUCACAACAGCCUGUCAUCCUCUGGCCUCUUAGGGCCACCUGAUGAGAACAAGGGGGUGUUACCAGUGCUGUUUCCAGUGUGAGCAUGGGGGUGUUACCAGUGCAGUUUCCAGAUGUGAAUGAGGGGCUGUUACCAGUGCUCUUUCCACUGCUGGUUUCAGUGCGUUAGAGCUGGCUGAGCAGGUCACCUGGCCUGGGGACAAGGAUGAGCAUGAGAAGCAGAAAUGGUUGAAAGCAAAAGCAAUUAAAGAACAGUCACUGAGGGAGGUAGUACAAAUCUGUUGUCACUGAAGUGUGUUAUCCUGAAGGACUAAAGGAGUAUGUAGUAGUUCCCGGGCACUGGUCUUGCUGGGUUGAGCAAACUCUUCCAGCUUUCUCCUUCCAGAAGAGACUUGCAAAGAGCAUUUCCAGGUGCUGUGCCAUACCCCUUCACAUCAGAUGCAGCUGCGACUCGGUUAUCAGUCUAAAUCUUAUUAGGCGAAGAAGAGCAGCAAGGCAGAUUAGUUAUGGCCACAGGAAACCUAGUAUGAAAGGGCAUGGUGUUUGCCAGAUGUGCUUCAGAUUUGCAGGCACUCCGGGGUGUUUCAUAUACCCAUCAAUUCACUGUGUAGAUUUUGUUGCUGCACAGAUCCGUGCUCCCCUAAGCCUUAUAAUAACCAGUUUGUGGGUGUAGUGAAGGCAAAAUUCAAUCAGAGUCUCUGACUCAUCCCAUCACUAGGAUUUUGAACACAAGAGCAAUUGCUCACUGCCCACUCCUCCCCCACACUCCCUAUUAACUCAGGUCACUCACUGUUCCCACAGGCUUGCUCUCUCCAGGUCUCCCCACCUACUCCUUUAUUUUUCUGGCAGGUGGCUCCUCUUUCAUUCCAGGUGCUUUUUUUUUUCCCUUGGCCUUGUGUACGUAGCUUUCGCUCAGCUCAGGCGUCAGCUCUUCUUCCCAAGCUGUUAUACUUUGACUGCAUCAUAAAAUACAAAAGACAAGGUUGUGCUUGUCUGAUGGAGAAGCCUAGCAGAAACAAGACCUGUAUUCCUAUUGGCCCAAUUCAUCCCCAGCAUUGGAAAGAUAUUUAAAAUCUUAAAAAUCAAUACAAGAAGAAUUGGGGAGUUUAUUUGCAAGUCUGUUUGACAGCUGUGCCCUCUCCCAACUUAUCUCCUCAUAUGAGGACUGGCACUUUUUUUUUGAGGAGAUGAACUUCAUUUGAAAUGUAUUGCAAUAAAAGGAAAACUGUUGUGGUUUUAGAGAUUUUGGAACACCACUGAAAACCUGCUGUGAGGUAUAAGUCCCACAACUGAAACGCAAAAGGCAAUUAGAAGUGUCCCUUUUCUGUGACCUUGAUGUUUGUCUUGUGGCUGUGGGCAUGGUCUGCCAUGCAGUAUUAGAUUCCUGGAAGGUCUUGACCACAAUAAAGAAGAAAUUAAUAAUGGUGAAAUUAAA